Lycium ferocissimum is the source of this 3910-nucleotide long non-coding RNA. RefSeq lists it as uncharacterized. The transcript has 3 exons. NCBI's taxonomy places the organism in Eukaryota, Viridiplantae, Streptophyta, Magnoliopsida, Solanales, Solanaceae. The record is from RefSeq and is a predicted model, not a curated record.
AAUGAGUCCAUCCAUCUUCCAACGUUAAAACACGUGUCCCAUUAUUUUUUCGUCUGGGCUCCACUUUCUUCCUUCUUCGAUAUUCUUUUGCUCUGCCUUCUUCUCUCAUUCUCUGGAUUUACACCGUGUUUAUCCUAAGUGCUCUUUUUUUUUUCUUUUUUCUUUUUUCGAUUUCAUGUUAUUUUCUUAUAUUGCUUGAUGUAAUUUGAGUGUUUUGGUUUAAUUUUUUUACUGGUUUUUUAUGUUAAUUGUUGUUGAUGAAUAUUUGCCCUCUCUAUCACUUAUAUUCUCUUGCUCGAUUCUUAUUUUUCUGAUAUGGAACUGGCGAAGCACAAGGUCUUCGAGGGCACAAUAAUCUUUGUGCUAAGCAUUUCUAAUCAAUUGCCUCCAUAGCUCAGUGAGGGCGGGUUUUGUGAUUCGGCAAGGUGCGCAGGCAAGUUCUUCUGUUUUUUCCUGUGCUAUUCACUUUUUCAAAGAAUGAGUUCUAUAUUUUGCUGGGUGUAUAUUAGUGUAAUAUUCUUUUUGGUGAUUAUAGUUAGCUUUUCCAAUUUUUUUGGGUAAAUUUUUUUUUUUCCUAUUGCAUGUUAGGAAUUUUAUUUGAUUUGCUCAUGCAUGUUUGGAGACAUUUUGAAGAAUUUUUUAUUGUUGGCUAAAAAUCUUUUAUCCUCAUGGAUAUUGAACAAUUGCUGAUGUGACAAUAUGUUCGGUGAUAUGCCUGACCCGAAAAAGAAUUAGAGACAACAUGGCUAAUUAGGCUUAGUGGGGGAGAGAGUAUACAGAAGGAAACACUCCAAAAUUAUGGUAUUAUGAUGAAUAGCUAGCCAAGAAGGCUGAUAUGUCUUAAGGUAUGAGUUGGGAAUCAUCUCCUGACCCCUAUUUAAUGGGUUUGCUAAUAGCUGCUCAAGUUAAACUUCACUUUUGCACUCAACUAACUAUUUGCUUAAGCUAAAUUUGAUUGUGAAUUUUAGCCAAUCUCUUUGAACACAAACAUGGUGCUAGCACCUCCAAGGACACAAAUGGAGAUGGGACAAGCCUUAAAAGUAUUAGAAUUUUCUGUUGUUGUUCAAGUUUGUUUCAUGGCAUGCAAAAUUCCUGUUAUUUAUGAAAUGGUGGAUAUUAUUCGUUGUUGAUGUUCUUCCUACUAAAAGCUUUCCUCAUGAAAAUUGCAAGUUUUCACUUGUAGCAAGUAUACCAUAUAAUAUACUUGACCAAAGAUAAAAAGCGUAAAACAAAAAUAUCAGUCACAAUUUUGUCUGUCGUGAGUUGCCAGCUGUCUAUGGAUGUGUAGUGCGUUGUUUGUAGUUUUCUCUGUUCACUAAGGAGUAUUUAGGUUAUUUUAGACGAAGGGAAUAAUGAUGGUUCUCCUGGAUUACUGUGGUUAAUUUUGAUUGCAACUUUGGGAUGAUGGAGAGCCACAAGAUACAAGGGAGAAGCAUUUGGAAGAAAACUGCUCACACAUAUGGUUCUUUUACUGUAUAAGGUUUAUGGUAUUAUAUUUUUAUCGUUCUAUACACACACACACACACACACACACUAUAGCAUAGUUUAUAAACUGCUUUUUUCGAUGUCAAUCUUUACAACUUGAAUCAUUUAGUAAUUUCUUUUGCCUAUGUAUGUAGUGUGAAAGUUCAUUUCCUUCAUAAGUGUAUUUUGUCUAUUCACUGUGAUCCCCUGAAUUAAAUUUGGUGAUGCUACUUCUGCAAAACAACAUACACACGAUGGUGAACUUAUAGUUCUGGAGUGGAUUCAUGAGUACCAGACAUCUAUAAUCAUGCUUCGGUUCUUUCUUUCUUCUUUGAUUUUUUCGCUUUCUAUCCCUUUCGGGCUCGCCUUUUUCCUCUAAGACCAUACACAGAGAAUUUGGCAUAACUACUUAGAUUUCAAGCAUGGCUUUGGAGGAAAUUGAAUUUCUUUUUUUCUAUUUUUUUUAUCUAGAAAAUUUCAAGGUUUUCGUCUGUAAUAGUGUGAUUGUAUUCCUUAAAACAAUAAAAAAUUGAUCCCUAAUCCCAUAUAUAACGUUAUUGGAUUGAUGUUUGGGUGUAUUUGAGAUUUCAACUUAAGUCUUUAAAUCCAUAUUGGUAUUUCGAUCUGCGUUCUAUGUGUUCUGCGAUAUCGCUUGUCGUACACGAAAACAUAUCUUACUUUUUAACUGCUCAAAAAGGUGUCAAUGAAGAUUUUCUAACUGAACUGUACAACAGUUGUCUAAUGUUAUGCAUGCGAAUUUGGAUUUUUUUCCUGCGGUUAUUUUGGAAUAAAGUUGAUUAGAUAAUUUCUUUCAUGUUUCUGUGAAUUGAUUGGAAUUGUACUGAACUAGAUUUAUUCUGUUAAUUUGUCUAUAUUUUUUGCAUUUGUGUGUUCCCAUAUCUCAUGUUUUGAAGGUUGAAUUUAAUUGAACUUUGCAGGUGUGCAUUUUAUAUUUGGUCCGUCGAGCACUUAACACUGUUCGUAAGCUCAGUUACUGUUUAAUCUUUUGUGUAGGAUAGUUUCUACCAUAGAAAUUCUGAGAGAUAUGAAGUUCGAAACAAGAUGGCUAGUCAGAUUAUUGGUCAACAUUAUAGAUUAACAGUCAAGUAUAGUCAUAGAAUAUAACGGAUUUGGAUCUUGUGUGUGCAAAUUUUUGUGUGAUUAUUGUAGCACAUCAUUGUUUAUUUUUCAAAGAGUGAGUUAAAUUGUUGUCUAAUUAUUCCUGCUUAUCUUCUUUUGCUUCUCGCAAGAGCACAAAGAAAAGGAGAGGGCAAAUUUAUGCAGUGAAAACUUCAGUUGCUCAUUAAUUGAUAUUUCGUUUCCAUGAUUCUGAGCUGCCUGACCAGCUUUCGAUGAAACUCUUAUUUAAAUUUUCACUAGCUUUAUAUUUCUUAAAUUAAUUACUAUAAGAAGUCUUACAACCUUUUAUUAAUUUGUAUUAUUCUGGACAUUAGUAAGGUAGUUUUAGCUUGUAAAUUGAUUGAACUAGGGUUGCUUAAAUCUGUUCCCAGAGACGAGGACAUUUUGACAGAUGAUCGGGAGGAGGUGCAAUGUUGAAGGGAUUCAUUUAGUGAAGCAGGCAAAAUAGUAUAAUAUAAUUUGCCAAGGGGUCACAAUGGAAACAAGAAGUCUUAUACAUAUAUGUAGAAACGCUAUCUGGCACUGUGUUGGAGCUCACUUUCGUGGUAUUAAAGUAUCUUGUUCUAGAAGUUGUUGUAAGGAGAAAAGGGUGUUUGUCAUUUUUAAGUUUUUGCUUCUCUCGCUGCAUCUGUUAUGUACCUUCUAAGCAUCCGAAUCUUGACCUUUUGUUGUUUUAGUUCUUUGGAAAUGUUUGUGAACUCAAAUGUUUUCUCUUCUGCUUGUAACAAGAUUGUCAGUAUGAUGAGCUAGCUGUGAAACUGAAUCCAAUUAUUUUACCUUUGAUGGCUUCGAUUAAGAGAAACCAGAUAAGUGUCCAAUGUUUGAAUUUUUUUUAAUUGGACAUAAAUGCUACACAAGUAUAACUAUGCGUUUCUUUCUGUUGCAUGCAUUAUCAUUCAUAUUUUAUGAUGAGCUUUAUGGGUGAUAUUCUAUGGAGUUCGUUGUCAUUUACCGGUCACAUAUAUUAAUUUGGUGCCCAUUCUUACUCAGUUCUUAUAUGUGCAGGAUGAUGACCUAACAAUAUUAGAUGUUCGCAAGUUUAAGCCUAUUCAUAACUACAACUGAAAUACGUGUUGUCAACCGGAGCGGCUAAAAUCCAGAUUUCAUGCAAUUGUAACAUAGUUCAUACAUAAGAUGGUGGACCACCUACAUGAUCAUGAACAAUCUCACUGUUUUUGUCUUUGUAGCAAGUUCAACAAUGUACUUGUAUAACUUUGUUCCCCAAAUGAAUGUACAUAGUAUGAAGCAUAUCAUGUUAAUAUUUUGUUUAAUGACAUUUCUUCAUUUGGAUAAUUUCACUACACAA